This 344-nucleotide transfer-messenger RNA is filed under the name Betaproteobacteria bacterium. Its description in RNAcentral is "partial transfer-messenger RNA". It matches the Rfam family "transfer-messenger RNA", at positions 52 to 374 of the family's 374-position model. From Rfam's summary of the family: Bacterial tmRNA, also known as 10Sa RNA or SsrA, is named for its dual tRNA and mRNA-like properties. Its role is to liberate the mRNA from a stalled ribosome. Lineage: Bacteria; Pseudomonadati; Pseudomonadota; Betaproteobacteria. The record is from RNAcentral.
GAGGACCAGUGACCUCGUAAAUCCAUCUGGAAACACCAUAAACGCCAACGACGAGCGUUUCGCUCUCGCCGCCUAAUACCGGCGAGACGCUGCACUAGCCUGCUGAUGGGCUAGGCCCCGCCAACCGAGGCUUCGGCCGAGGUUCCAAACGGGGUGCAGCGUCAUUUACAUCAGCCUCUCUGUGCGGGGUGGCCGCUUCCCCGCACGGAUCCGUCGAAGCGGCUGGCUGAGCGUCAGCCUGCCGGUCGGCGGGCGCGAGGCGAGAUCCAAAUGAUCAGGCUAAGCAUGUAGUCCUGGCUGUCUAGGGCUUGCGGACGCGGGUUCGAUUCCCGCCGCCUCCACCA